GACGAACGCUGGCGGCGUGCUUAACACAUGCAAGUCGAACGGAAAGGCCCUGCUUUUGUGGGGUGCUCGAGUGGCGAACGGGUGAGUAACACGUGAGUAACCUGCCCUUGACUUUGGGAUAACUUCAGGAAACUGGGGCUAAUACCGGAUAGGAGCUCCUGCUGCAUGGUGGGGGUUGGAAAGUUUCGGCGGUUGGGGAUGGACUCGCGGCUUAUCAGCUUGUUGGUGGGGUAGUGGCUUACCAAGGCUUUGACGGGUAGCCGGCCUGAGAGGGUGACCGGCCACAUUGGGACUGAGAGACGGCGCAGAGUGCUACGGGAGGCAGCAGUGGGGAAUAUUGCACAAUGGGCGGAAGCCUGAUGCAGCAACGCCGCGUGCGGGAUGACGGCCUUCGGGUUGUAAACCGCUUUCGCCUGUGACGAAGCGUGAGUGACGGUAAUGGGUAAAGAAGCACCGGCUAACUACGUG
Molecule: ribosomal RNA, 468 nt
Filed under: uncultured bacterium
Lineage: Bacteria
Description: partial 16S ribosomal RNA
Rfam family: Bacterial small subunit ribosomal RNA
Source: RNAcentral